ACCAAAUGAUCAAAUAUUUAUAGGAUAUGGAUGGGCAUGCGGAACAUUAGCUAGUUGGUAAGGUAACGGCUUACCAAGGCUACGAUGUUUAGGGGAUCUGAGAGGAUGACCCCCCACACUGGUACUGAGACACGGACCAGACUCCUACGGGAGGCAGCAGUAAGGAAUAUUGGUCAAUGGGCGCAAGCCUGAACCAGCCAUGCCGCGUGCAGGAAGACGGCCCUACGGGUUGUAAACUGCUUUUAUACGGGAAUAAACCUACUUACGUGUAAGUAGCUGAAUGUACUGUAAGAAUAAGGAUCGGCUAACUCCGUGCCAGCAGCCGCGGUAAUACGGAGGAUCCAAGCGUUAUCCGGAUUUAUUGGGUUUAAAGGGUGCGUAGGCGGCCUAUUAAGUCAGGGGUGAAAGACGGUAGCUUAACUAUCGCAGUGCCUUUGAUACUGAUGGGCUUGAAUGUACUUGAGGUAGGCGGAAUGUGACAAGUAGCGGUGAAAUGCAUAGAUAUGUCACAGAACACCAAUUGCGAAGGCAGC
This 533-nucleotide ribosomal RNA is filed under the name Mucilaginibacter sp. RNAcentral describes it as "bacterial SSU rRNA". It matches the Rfam family "Bacterial small subunit ribosomal RNA", at positions 192 to 725 of the family's 1533-position model. Lineage: Bacteria; Pseudomonadati; Bacteroidota; Sphingobacteriia; Sphingobacteriales; Sphingobacteriaceae. The record is from RNAcentral.